GGACCGGGUUAGGCGACCGCUCCGUGAGAUAAUUGCGGGGAGGAAAGUCCGAACACGGGCCGCCCGUAAGGGUGAGCAGUCGGGUAAUGGGUAACGCCCAUACAUCGCGAGAUGAGAGGUGACCACAGUGACGCCAACAGCGAAAGCUAGAGGAUUCCCUGACUGCCGUCAGGCAGGCUUCGGGAAUAAUCCUGUUGAGAGACAGGAGUGCAACGACCAAAUCCUUACCCCCGUGCAAGGCCGUGCCCGACCACACUUCGAGUGUGACGGGAGUGCCGCUUGAGGCGUUGAGUAAUCAGCGUCCCAGAUAAAUGGUCGUCUCGUUCUCUUCGGAGGAUUAGACAGAAUUCGGCUUAUCAACCCGGUCUAAAA
RNAcentral lists this RNase P RNA (372 nucleotides) under bacterium. RNAcentral describes it as "RNase P RNA component class A". It matches the Rfam family "Bacterial RNase P class A". From Rfam's summary of the family: Ribonuclease P (RNase P) is a ubiquitous endoribonuclease, found in archaea, bacteria and eukarya as well as chloroplasts and mitochondria. Its best characterised activity is the generation of mature 5'-ends of tRNAs by cleaving the 5'-leader elements of precursor-tRNAs. The record is from RNAcentral.